Bacillus sp. FJAT-27916 is the source of this 148-nucleotide regulatory RNA element. It matches the Rfam family "PyrR binding site". Rfam says of the family: This family represents the PyrR binding site and terminator structure. The record is from Rfam. NCBI's taxonomy places the organism in Bacteria, Bacillati, Bacillota, Bacilli, Caryophanales, Bacillaceae.
GUUACCUUUAAGAGUAGUCCAGAGAGGCUGACAAGGUGCGCGUGAAUGAAUUGAGAGAUAUAGACCCGUAGUAUAGGUAUAUACUAUAGGUGUAUACUAUUAGUCAUACAAUCAGCACUUGCCUCAAAUGGGCAGGUGCUUUUUUUAU